CAGUCGCCGCGGGAACACAGAGGGUGCGAGCGUUAAUCGGAAUUACUGGGCGUAAAGCGUGCGUAGGCGGUUUGUUAAGUCUGCUGUGAAAUCCCCGGGCUCAACCUGGGAAUGGCAGUGGAUACUGGCAAGCUAGAGUGUGUCAGAGGAUGGUGGAAUUCCCGGUGUAGCGGUGAAAUGCGUAGAGAUCGGGAGGAACAUCAGUGGCGAAGGCGGCCAUCUGGGACAACACUGACGCUGAGGCACGAAAGCGUGGGGAGCAAACAGGAUUAGAUACCCCUGUAGUCCCUGUCUCUUAUAC
Molecule: ribosomal RNA, 301 nt
Filed under: uncultured bacterium
Lineage: Bacteria
Description: partial 16S ribosomal RNA
Rfam family: Bacterial small subunit ribosomal RNA
Source: RNAcentral